RNAcentral lists this ribosomal RNA (505 nucleotides) under uncultured bacterium. Its description in RNAcentral is "partial 16S ribosomal RNA". It matches the Rfam family "Bacterial small subunit ribosomal RNA", at positions 28 to 507 of the family's 1533-position model. The record is from RNAcentral.
GACGAACGCUGGCGGCGUGCCUAAUACAUGCAAGUAGAACGCACAGUUUAUACCGUAGCUUGCUACACCAUAGACUGUGAGUUGCGAACGGGUGAGUAACGCGUAGGUAACCUGCCUGGUAGCGGGGGAUAACUAUUGGAAACGAUAGCUAAUACCGCAUAAUAUUAAUUAUUGCAUGAUAAUUAAUUGAAAGGUGCAAUUGCACCACUACCAGAUGGACCUGCGUUGUAUUAGCUAGUAGGUGAGGUAACGGCUCACCUAGGCGACGAUACAUAGCCGACCUGAGAGGGCGAUCGGCCACACUGGGACUGAGACACGGCCCAGACUCCUACGGGAGGCAGCAGUAGGGAAUCUUCGGCAAUAGACGAAAGUCUGACCGAGCAACGCCGCGUGAGUGAAGAAGGUUUUCGGAUCGUAAAGCUCUGUUGUAAGAGAAGAACGGGUGUGAGAGUGGAAAGUUCACACUGUGACGGUAUCUUACCAGAAAGGGACGGCUAACUACGUG